Molecule: long non-coding RNA, 1370 nt
Organism: Stegastes partitus (bicolor damselfish)
Lineage: Eukaryota; Metazoa; Chordata; Actinopteri; Pomacentridae
Exons: 2
Source: RefSeq, a predicted model, not a curated record
CUUUUAUUUAUAGCAUUUACACCGAUAACACUGAAGGGUCAUCGUCUGAUAAAUGAAAAAGGAAAGAAAUUUUUUUGUCAAAUGUUAAAAUUAAAAUGUGACCUGAUUGUUUUAGAAACCAACAGCUUAAUAUUCAUCGAUGUGUUGUGUUUCUAUAACAUCCAUUGUGUAAAAUCUUCAUCUUAAAAGAAACAAAAACUGUUAAAUAAAUGUAGUGGAGCAGAAAGCACAUCAUCUCCAUCUGAGAGGCGGUGAGAACUUAAAUGCGCUCAUCCUGUCGGUUCAAGAGGAACACGUGGACAAUAAAACGACACCACGGAGAGAAAAACUACCAGAGACUUUGUUUAUUGUUGCAUAUUUAAACCGUCACCUCACCUGCUGAAAAACACUCCUCCAAAACAAAUCUAGUUUGUCCUCGAAGCAGAAGAUGCAGGAGACAAAAGAAACCACGUUUCACAUCAGACCUCACAUCCCAGCACUGGUUUACUGUGAGGUCUUCACCAAAGUGUCUGUCGGCGAAGACGUCUGCGUUCGAGGACAAACUAGGAUCCAUUCGCUCCGACUACAAAUCCCAUCGGUCACAAUGUUCAGCAUCAUAAAAAAAUAAUUAUACAAGAAUAUCAGACAGACAGACAGCGAGGAGGGGAAACGGAAACUCCCACAGAUAGACGAUAAAACAGGUCAUGAUGUGCAAGACUGCUCUUCAGACUGGAUGCAUCCGUUGCGAGCCGUGAUGUAGAACUGAUGAGUUUGUUGGGCCCCUCUGGGCUCUGCCAUUAUGGUUUUUAUGUUUUUUGGUAAAAUCCUGACAAGAAAUUCAUGAUUUUCAGAUACAAAAACAGUCCUAUAGAGCAGUGAUUUAGCAACCAGCUGUCAAGGUCCAGUUGUGUACAAACUGGUAGACGUCAGUUCACACAAACUACAAAAAAACAACAACAACACAAGUUUGCUUACUCUGAACCAGCCAUGUGGGUAGUUUUCGAUUCAAGUUUUAGAAGAUCUGUUUGGUGAUUUCUGCCAAAUGAGCUCAAUAAAAUGUAGAUAAUUAGUUUUUUUAAAUAUUGAAAAGCUGCGUUUCCAUCGACAGAUCUUUCAGGGAACAUUGUGCUUGUUGUUCGGUUUUCAUGUGGACGGUUUUGUUAGUAGAGAGCAGUUCUGGUGAAUAAACUUGUUAACCUGCAGCAGCCGGCUUAGGAACAGACAAGUUGCUGAUAAAUCUGAACACGUCAGUGCAGUGAGCAGCACAACAGAACCCGUCUGCACAGCUGGGUUCAACAAGAAGCAGCCAAAUCUGUGUGUCUUUAUAGUUUGAGGGAACUGAACUAUUUGAACUAAAAAAAUAAAAACAAAACCACAAAAAAAAAAAAAAA